CAUUCCCAAUCCAGACAUAGUGUCUGCGUCCCACGGUAUUCCAGUUCUCCAAUUUGGGAGUUCAGAGUGUACAUGUUUUUUUGCCAGUGAACUUGUGAAAAUGACUCAAUCUAAACUCAGCUUCUGCUGAAGACUGUGGCUUCAAAUAUAUUUUUCUAGGAGCAUCUUAACGUUAUCAGACAUUGCCCCGAAACUCCAAUUUUGAUUUAAAGGGAUUUUUAAAAGCAGCUCACCGUGUCAUCUGCAGAUCAAGUCUCAUGAAGCAUGCAAUCAAUAAGACACCACAAGCAGCAGGGUAAACAAUUCCUGAAGUCUGGCAGCAGCGGACGGACUUCAUCAGUGAUGGCCUCCUUCCGAGAUACGCCCGGUGCCUUUUGGAGAUGGGCUGCAUGUUGACCCAGUGUCAAGUCCGUGCUGCAGGAGGGCAUUCCGUCCGCUCCGCCAGGGCAGCGUGGGGUUUCACAGCACGCCUGCUUCCGGACCGCUCCAGAACAAAGACCCUGACUGGGGCCAAGACCUGCCGCCGCUCCUCUGAGCUCGUGCCACAAGCAAACAUACACAAUCGCACACUGUUGAACACACCCUCAGACAUAUACACGGGACGACUCUCUUGGGGCCCUUUU
This is a long non-coding RNA of Sinocyclocheilus anshuiensis, 623 nucleotides long. RefSeq lists it as uncharacterized. The record is from RefSeq and is a predicted model, not a curated record. The transcript is spliced from 4 exons. NCBI's taxonomy places the organism in Eukaryota, Metazoa, Chordata, Actinopteri, Cypriniformes, Cyprinidae.